CAGUAGCCGCGGGAAAACGAAGGGGGCUAGCGUUGCUCGGAAUGACUGGGCGUAAAGGGCGCGUAGGCGGAUUGUUUAGUUAGGCGUGAAAUUCCUGGGCUUAACCUGGGGACUGCGCUUAAUACAGGCAGUCUAGAGUGAGGAAGAGGGUUGUGGAAUUUCCGGUGUAGCGGUGAAAUGCGUAGAUAUCGGAAGGAACACCUGUGGCGAAAGCGGCUCACUGGACCAUAACUGACGCUGAGGCACGAAAGCUAGGGGAGCAAACAGGAUUAGAUACCCGUGUAGUCCCUGUCUCUUAUAC
This 301-nucleotide ribosomal RNA is filed under the name uncultured bacterium. RNAcentral describes it as "partial 16S ribosomal RNA". It matches the Rfam family "Bacterial small subunit ribosomal RNA", at positions 509 to 807 of the family's 1533-position model. The record is from RNAcentral.